RNAcentral lists this transfer RNA (88 nucleotides) under Candidatus Altimarinota bacterium. RNAcentral describes it as "tRNA-Ser". It matches the Rfam family "tRNA". Rfam says of the family: Transfer RNA (tRNA) molecules are approximately 80 nucleotides in length. Their secondary structure includes four short double-helical elements and three loops (D, anti-codon, and T loops). The record is from RNAcentral. Lineage: Bacteria; Candidatus Altimarinota.
GGAGAGAUCGCAUAGUGGCCGAGUGCGCGCGCUUGGAGAGCGCGUAGGGCGCAAGUCCUCGAGGGUUCGAAUCCCUCUCUCUCCGCCA